UACGGGAGGCAGCAGUGAGGAAUAUUGGUCAAUGGGCGAGAGCCUGAACCAGCCAAGUCGCGUGAAGGAAGAAGGAUCUAUGGUUCGUAAACUUCUUUUGCAGGGGAAUAAAGUGCAGGACGUGUCCUGUUUUGUAUGUACCCUGAGAAUAAGGAUCGGCUAACUCCGUGCCAGCAGCCGCGGUAAUACGGAGGAUCCGAGCGUUAUCCGGAUUUAUUGGGUUUAAAGGGUGCGUAGGUGGUUUGAUAAGUCAGCGGUGAAAGUUUGCAGCUUAACUGUAAAAAUGCCGUUGAAACUGUCGGACUUGAGUGUAAAUGAGGUGGGCGGAAUGCGUGGUGUAGCGGUGAAAUGCAUAGAUAUCACGCAGAACUCCGAUUGCGAAGGCAGCUUACUAAGCUACAACUGACACUGAAGCACGAAAGCGUGGGGAUCAAACAGGAUUAGAUACCCUGGUAGUCCACGCAGUAAACGAUGAUUACUAGCUGUUUGCGAUACACAGUAAGCGGCCCAGCGAAAGCGUUAAGUAAUCCAC
Molecule: ribosomal RNA, 532 nt
Filed under: uncultured Bacteroidota bacterium
Lineage: Bacteria; Pseudomonadati; Bacteroidota
Description: bacterial SSU rRNA
Rfam family: Bacterial small subunit ribosomal RNA
Source: RNAcentral